AAGCGUUGAUAAACUUAUACAACUUUCAACAACGGAUCUCUUGGCUCUCGCAUCGAUGAAGAACGCAGCGAAAUGCGAUAAGUAAUGUGAAUUGCAGAUUUUCAGUGAAUCAUCGAAUCUUUGAACGCACCUUGCGCUCCUUGGUAUUCCGAGGAGCAUGCCUGUUUGAGUGUCAUUAAAUUCUCAACUCCAAGGGUUUCACGACCUUUCGGAGAUUGGACUUGGAGGUGCUGGCCGCAUAUUGGUCGGCUCCUCUCAAAUGCAUCAGCGGAAUUCAACCUUUGGCUUCCGGAUGUCAGUGUGAUAAUCAUGUUGCGCUGUCGUUUGAUCCCUCAGAGUCCGCUUAUAAUGGUCUUCGGACAAAAUCAUCAUCAAAUUUGACCUCAAAUCAGGUAGGACUACCCGCUGAACUUAAGCAU
This 419-nucleotide unclassified non-coding RNA is filed under the name uncultured Piloderma. RNAcentral describes it as "sequence contains ITS1, 5.8S rRNA gene and ITS2". The stretch from base 21 to 175 matches the Rfam family "5.8S ribosomal RNA". The record is from RNAcentral. Lineage: Eukaryota; Fungi; Basidiomycota; Agaricomycetes; Atheliales; Atheliaceae.